This 130-nucleotide small RNA is filed under the name Carlito syrichta (Philippine tarsier). RNAcentral's name for it is "ZNFX1 antisense RNA 1 conserved region 1 (ENSTSYG00000027937.1)". It matches the Rfam family "ZNFX1 antisense RNA 1 conserved region 1", at positions 70 to 198 of the family's 198-position model. The record is from RNAcentral. Lineage: Eukaryota; Metazoa; Chordata; Mammalia; Primates; Tarsiidae.
UAGAGCGCCUCGGGCUGGGCGGCCCCGAGUCUACAUUUCCCAGGGAAACCCGCGCGGUGCGGGCGGGAAACGGAGCGCGUCGGGCCCAGUGCGCAGGCGCGAGAGCCUUCUCACGGUAUAUAAGGGAGGU